This 702-nucleotide ribosomal RNA is filed under the name uncultured Arthrobacter sp. RNAcentral describes it as "bacterial SSU rRNA". It matches the Rfam family "Bacterial small subunit ribosomal RNA", at positions 412 to 1123 of the family's 1533-position model. The record is from RNAcentral. Lineage: Bacteria; Bacillati; Actinomycetota; Actinomycetes; Micrococcales; Micrococcaceae.
CGGCCUUCGGGUUGUAAACCUCUUUCAGUAGGGAAGAAGCGAAGGUGACGGUACCUGCAGAAGAAGCGCCGGCUAACUACGUGCCAGCAGCCGCGGUAAUACGUAGGGCGCAAGCGUUAUCCGGAAUUAUUGGGCGUAAAGAGCUCGUAGGCGGUUUGUCGCGUCUGCCGUGAAAGUCCGGGGCUCAACUCCGGAUCUGCGGUGGGUACGGGCAGACUAGAGUGAUGUAGGGGAGACUGGAAUUCCUGGUGUAGCGGUGAAAUGCGCAGAUAUCAGGAGGAACACCGAUGGCGAAGGCAGGUCUCUGGGCAUUAACUGACGCUGAGGAGCGAAAGCAUGGGGAGCGAACAGGAUUAGAUACCCUGGUAGUCCAUGCCGUAAACGUUGGGCACUAGGUGUGGGGGACAUUCCACGUUUUCCGCGCCGUAGCUAACGCAUUAAGUGCCCCGCCUGGGGAGUACGGCCGCAAGGCUAAAACUCAAAGGAAUUGACGGGGGCCCGCACAAGCGGCGGAGCAUGCGGAUUAAUUCGAUGCAACGCGAAGAACCUUACCAAGGCUUGACAUGGACCGGACCGCCGCAGAAAUGUGGUUUCUCCUUUUGGGGCCGGUUCACAGGUGGUGCAUGGUUGUCGUCAGCUCGUGUCGUGAGAUGUUGGGUUAAGUCCCGCAACGAGCGCAACCCUCGUUCCAUGUUGCCAGCA